This 360-nucleotide ribosomal RNA is filed under the name uncultured bacterium. RNAcentral describes it as "bacterial SSU rRNA". It matches the Rfam family "Bacterial small subunit ribosomal RNA", at positions 28 to 389 of the family's 1533-position model. The record is from RNAcentral.
GACGAACGCUGGCGGCGUGCUUAACACAUGCAAGUCGAGCGGUAAGGCCCUUUCGGGGGUACACGAGCGGCGAACGGGUGAGUAACACGUGGGUGACCUGCCCUCAGCUCUGGGAUAAGCCUGGGAAAACCGGGUCUAAUACCGGAUAUGACUCCAUGACGCAUGUUGUGGGGUGGAAAGCCUUGUGCGGCUGAGGAUGGGCCCGCGGCCUAUCAGCUUGUUGGUGGGUGAUGGCCUACCAAGGCGACGACGGGUAGCCGGCCUGAGAGGGCGACCGGCCACACUGGGACUGAGACACGGCCCAGACUCCUACGGGAGGCAGCAGUGGGGAAUCUUGCGCAAUGGGCGAAAGCCUGACGC